GCCACCGUAGCUCAGUCGGUGGAGCGCGUGCUUGGUAAGCACGAGGUCCCGGGUCCGAUUCCCGGCGGUGGCU
This 73-nucleotide transfer RNA is filed under the name Thermoplasmata archaeon. RNAcentral describes it as "tRNA-Thr". It matches the Rfam family "tRNA". Rfam says of the family: Transfer RNA (tRNA) molecules are approximately 80 nucleotides in length. Their secondary structure includes four short double-helical elements and three loops (D, anti-codon, and T loops). RNAcentral also lists the same sequence under 2 other names. Lineage: Archaea; Methanobacteriati; Thermoplasmatota; Thermoplasmata. The record is from RNAcentral.